CCUACGGGUGGCAGCAGUGAGGAAUAUUGGUCAAUGGACGAGAGUCUGAACCAGCCAAGUAGCGUGAAGGAUGACUGCCCUAUGGGUUGUAAACUUCUUUUAUAUGGAAAUAAACUGUUCCACGUGUGGGAUUUUGUAUGUCCCAUAUGAAUAAGGAUAGGCUAACUCCGUGCCAGCGGCCGCGGUAAUACGGAGGAGACAAGCGUUAACCGGAUUUAUUGGGUUUAAAGGGAGCGUAGGUGGAUUGUUAAGUCAGUUGUGAAAGUUUGCGGCUCAACCGUAAAAUUGCAGUUGAAACUGGCAGUCUUGAGUACAGUAGAGGUGGGCGGAAUUCGUGGUGUAGCGGGGAAAUGCUUAGAUAUCACGAAGAACUCCGAUUGCGAAGGCAGCUCACGGGACUGCAACUGACACUGAGGCUCGAAAGUGUGGGUAUCAAACAGGAGUAGAUACCCGAGUAGUC
This 460-nucleotide ribosomal RNA is filed under the name uncultured bacterium. RNAcentral's name for it is "partial 16S ribosomal RNA". It matches the Rfam family "Bacterial small subunit ribosomal RNA", at positions 338 to 795 of the family's 1533-position model. The record is from RNAcentral.